Long non-coding RNA from Gossypium raimondii (Peruvian cotton), 2957 nucleotides. RefSeq lists it as uncharacterized. NCBI's taxonomy places the organism in Eukaryota, Viridiplantae, Streptophyta, Magnoliopsida, Malvales, Malvaceae. The transcript has 2 exons. The record is from RefSeq and is a predicted model, not a curated record.
CGUAUUACGGGCUUAUUCCAUUAUGGGGGUAUGCCAAAAAUUGGCUGUUUUAUGGGUGAUUUCUAUUCCUUCUCAGACACCGUUUGGCUACUCCUUUUCAAUUUUUACCCUCCCAACCCAAAAGCCCCCAAAACAAGAGCAAACAGAAGCUGCCAGCAAAGUCACCCCACAAGGCUCCACCCGCUCCCGAUUCACUGUUCAGGCAAGUGCUUCUUCACUUUAUUGGCGGCUGAUUUCUCUUUUGUUAGCUCCGAUUUUGUUACAGCUGAUUUGCAAAUGUUAGAUUUGCAAAUUUUAGGUCAUUUUCAGUCAAUAUCAGAUACUCAUGAAAAAUGCCGACUUCCCUUCUUCGUUCUCCCAUAUCUCUCUACUUCCCCUUUCCUACCAUUUUCCGGCGCAAUUCCGAAGCAUUCAUUUUAGGGUCUUUUUUUUCUUGGUGGAUUGAUUUGCAGUAUUUCAUUUUUCAUGCUCUUUUGUUGUUUUAUUCUUGGUAGUCAUCUUCAUGUUUCUUUCUUUAAUAUUUUUUAAAAAUCCUGAUGAAUUUUUCAUACUCAUUUGCUUUUCUUAUAUUCAAAUAUAAUGUAGUUAAAACAAACAAACAAAAAGAAAGAUUUUGUGUGCAUCAUCUCCAGAUCCGUAUAUUAUAUAUAAAAUGGUGAUGGUUGGGGGAUGGUUGUUGGAAAAGAAUCCUUUUAUAUAUAUAUAUAUAUCUUUCAGCCAUUUUGGUAAUGUAACGAACCAAAGUUCUGAUUUUCUUUUCACUCUUUUGUUGAAUGGGAUUUUUGUUUCAUCAACUCUAUAAAUGCAUUUCAGAUUUUGAGUUUCUAUAUUAAGCAUGUAUCUUUGACAUUUCAGAUUUGCAAAUGUAAAUUACAGUUUGUAUUUUGGGUUUUUUUUUUCUUUCCAAUAUUGUGGUUUGCUUGUUUGUCAACCUGUUUUCCUAUUUUCUUCUGGGUAUUGAUUGAAAAUGACCUAAAAUUUCACCUUUCAUUUUUUGCAUAUGCAUUGCAUUUUUUGCAUUUCUAAUUUCACCUUUCUCUGCUGUUUCAUUCAUGCAUUCACGCAAAUGCUCAUUUUUUUUCCUUUUCUGAUCUGGUGUUUCUUGUUUAUGGAUUUGAGCAUAAAAUGUUCUGAUUAAUCUAAUAACAUUAUGUGAAAUCAUAUAAAAAUAAAGUUAAACAAAGAUGUUGCCAAUGCCAUCCAGUGAGCUGAUGAGAUGGUUAAUCUAAUGUUCUGAGAUGGCCAAUCCUCUAAUGCAGACCCUGCAUAGUCAUGAUGGAAACAAAUCCGUUAAUGAUACUUACACCUAAAUUCGAAUAAACAGCUCUAGAUUUAAAGGUGUGGUUGUAGUUUAAGUUACAUAAUUUGCAAUAUAUAGUUAUGUUUUUUUUUUCUUUGCAAUUGUUAAAAUUUCAAGUUUACCAUUAUUACAGAAUCUAGCUACCUCUUAUGUCUUAAUGCUGUCAAAUGUUUCUUUAGAAACACUAUUGAUUUGGAUUUUUUGUUUUCAAUCGUGCUUAAAUAGUAGUAAACUCAAGCUGGAUUUUUUUUUUUCAAAAUUUGCUUCUUUUUCUAGGAAUAUUAUUAUUAGGUUUCUCUGCCAAAUAUGUAAGUUCCGAUGACAAAAUUUAGUUGUCUUUAAGAUGUUGGAUGUGGUUGUUCGAAUGGUUCUUACAAUUUUAUCAUUUGGAGCUUUAAUUAGUUAGGAUGGAACUAGGUUUAUGUUAUUUUAUGUAUCUAGUUUGUGAAACUUUGGUGGUAUUUGAAUUGGUUUUUGUAUUGUUCUAGACUUGUUGAAUUAUAAUUUAUUUUCUUUUGAUUCAUCAUGUAUUAUAAUUUUAUAAAGUGUUGACCUUUUGAUUCAUAAUAUUGAACUGAAUUUUAAUUUUUUUUUUCUUAAGAUAAUUAUGUCAGGUUUUCCAGAAUCAAAUGUUUCUUCCCAAAGUUCUCGAGGAACCAAAAGGAAAUAGGUUUCCGAAGAAGAUGCUGCGUUGGUUUCUUGUAUGGUCGACUUGCACAAUGUUGGAACCUUUAAUGCUGAUACGGGAUUUAAAGCCGGUUAUUUAAAUGAGUUGGAAAAAAUGUUAGAAAAAGUUUUACCCAAUGCAAUGUUAAAGGCUAAACCUGAUAUUGAAUCGAGGAUUAGACUACUGAAAAGGGAUUGGUCAAUCGUUUAUGACAUGCUUAAUGGAAAAAAUAAUAGCGAUUUUGGUUAGGAUGAGCAUAGGCAGCUCGUUGUUGCUGAAGAUGCGGUGUGGAACUCAUAUAUAAAUAGUCAUAAAGAAGCAGGUCAAUUUAAACAUCGUAGUUUCCCUUAUUACGACCAACUUACUGUCAUCUACACAAAAGAUCGAGCCACUGGAAAAGAUGCUCAAAUAGCCGCUGUUAUCAUUGAAGAAAUAAAUGUUGAGGAUGUAGCUACUACAAAUAUUCAUGAAGAAAGAAACGAUUUUUAUGAAUGUGAAGCUGAUGUCUCUUUGGAUGACAUGAAUGUUUCAGCUACAGAACUACAAUCAGAUAGAAGCCAAGGGAGUUCCACAUCUUCAAAGAACAUAAAAAAGAAUUCUGAUGCAAGUGAUCAUAUUUCUUUUUCAUUUCAUAAUGCUAUCACUUUAUUGGCGGAAAGCAUGCGGGUUGUAGGCGAGCAAAUCAGUAGGAGUAUUGUCUCUGAUGUGGUAAUUCAACUAAAGUCAGAAGAAUUCCAGGUCAUCCAAGAAAAAGUUAUAAAUUUAUAUCCAACAUUUGUGAAAUAGAAGGUUUAACUGUGGAUGAGCGUUAUCGAGCAUUGAGCAAAAUUCCAGAUCAUCCAACGCAAAUGCUCAUUUUCUUUAGUUUACCUUCUUCUGUACGAUUGGAAUGGGUCAGGAGAUUUCUUGCUAACAAUUAAAAAUCAUGGUUGUAUUGAUGAUAUUUUGGUAAAUUUUUGAGUUUAUAAUAUUUGGGACGGUAUAAUAACA